Pangasianodon gigas (Mekong giant catfish) is the source of this 79-nucleotide non-coding RNA. NCBI's taxonomy places the organism in Eukaryota, Metazoa, Chordata, Actinopteri, Siluriformes, Pangasiidae. The record is from the annotation of a GenBank genome assembly.
GGCAGUGGUAGCUCAGUGGAUGAGCUAAGAUGUUGGACUACUGCUCGGAAGGUUGAGAGUUCAAAUCCCAACACUGCCA